Molecule: ribosomal RNA, 424 nt
Filed under: uncultured bacterium
Lineage: Bacteria
Description: partial 16S ribosomal RNA
Rfam family: Bacterial small subunit ribosomal RNA
Source: RNAcentral
GUGGGGAAUAUUGGACAAUGGGCGCAAGCCUGAUCCAGCCAUGCCGCGUGAGUGAUGAAGGCCUUAGGGUUGUAAAGCUCUUUCAGUGGGGACGAUAAUGACGGUACCCACAGAAGAAGCCCCGGCUAACUUCGUGCCAGCAGCCGCGGUAAUACGAAGGGGGCUAGCGUUGUUCGGAUUUACUGGGCGUAAAGCGCACGUAGGCGGAUCGUUAAGUCGGGGGUGAAAUCCUGGAGCUCAACUCCAGAACUGCCUUCGAUACUGGCGAUCUUGAGUCCGGAAGAGGUGAGUGGAACUCCUAGUGUAGAGGUGGAAUUCGUAGAUAUUAGGAAGAACACCAGUGGCGAAGGCGGCUCACUGGUCCGGUACUGACGCUGAGGUGCGAAAGCGUGGGAGCAAACAGGAUUAGAUACCCCUGUAGUCC